RNAcentral lists this ribosomal RNA (261 nucleotides) under uncultured bacterium. Its description in RNAcentral is "partial 16S ribosomal RNA". It matches the Rfam family "Bacterial small subunit ribosomal RNA", at positions 57 to 305 of the family's 1533-position model. The record is from RNAcentral.
GCAAGUCGAGCGAGAAAGUUCUCUUCGGAGAAUGAGUAGAGCGGCGCACGGGUGAGUAACGCGUGGAUAAUCUGCCCAGAAGAUCGGGAUAACAGUUGGAAACGACUGCUAAUACCGUAUAAUCUACAUAUUUAACUUUAUGUGGGAAAGGUGGCCUCUGUUUCAAGCUACCACUUUUGGAUGAGUCCGCGUCUCAUUAGUUUGUUGGUGGGGUAAUGGCCUACCAAGACUACGAUGAGUAGCUGGUCUGAGAGGAUGAUC